ACAUCAUACUUUGGCCAGGAGCCAUACAACAAGAACCAAUCUGAGGAAGAAUUGGAUGAAAAAGUGUGGUUUUAAUGCCAUUCCCAUUUACUGAAGAGCCAAAAACAAAACAUCCUAUGGAAUCAAACGUUUCUUCAACCUUAGACCACAAAGCACCAGUUUAUUCUCUGGUGAGGUGUGAGGGAAUUAAACACCCAACAAGAACCAUAGCAAGCACCUCUCCUCCAGCCACCUUGCCUCCUAUUAAUGAUGUGUACUUUGAGAGUAGUGUCAUUAUCAUAACUUGAGUACAAAUGGCAAGAAAGUUGAGGUUUAUUUGAGUCUUCAGAGACAUCCAUAUUCUAAACAAGAAUGUUAUAUUUCCAACAUAACUCAUGAGGGCAGAAUGAAGCUGGGUCUCAAGAAACACAACAUAGUCUUUAGAGGAAUCGGACCUCCAAGCAGCUGUCAAUGUAGGAAGCAGGAGAAUGGUAUUUUAGAAAUU
RNAcentral lists this long non-coding RNA (484 nucleotides) under Mus musculus (house mouse). RNAcentral's name for it is "long non-coding RNA chrX:22446055-22446539". Lineage: Eukaryota; Metazoa; Chordata; Mammalia; Rodentia; Muridae. The record is from RNAcentral.